GAUGAACGCUAGCUACAGGCUUAACACAUGCAAGUCGAGGGGAAACGACAUCGAAAGCUUGCUUUUGAUGGGCGUCGACCGGCGCACGGGUGAGUAACGCGUAUCCAACCUGCCCAUCAUUUGAGAAUAACCUUGCGAAAGUAAGACUAAUACCCAAUGACAUCCCACGAAGACAUCUGAAUGGGAUUAAAGAUUUAUCGGUGAUGGAUGGGGAUGCGUCUGAUUAGCUUGUUGGCGGGGUAACGGCCCACCAAGGCAACGAUCAGUAGGGGUUCUGAGAGGAAGGUCCCCCACAUUGGAACUGAGGCACGGUCCAAACUCCUACGGGAGGCAGCAGUGAGGAAUAUUGGUCAAUGGGCGAGAGCCUGAACCAGCCAAGUAGCGUGCAGGAUGACGGCCCUAUGGGUUGUAAACUGCUUUUAUAAGGGAAUAAAGUGGGUCUCGUGAGACUUUUUGCAUGUACCUUAUGAAUAAGGACCGGCUAAUUCCGUG
RNAcentral lists this ribosomal RNA (492 nucleotides) under uncultured bacterium. RNAcentral describes it as "partial 16S ribosomal RNA". It matches the Rfam family "Bacterial small subunit ribosomal RNA", at positions 28 to 507 of the family's 1533-position model. The record is from RNAcentral.